Symphalangus syndactylus (siamang) is the source of this 294-nucleotide long non-coding RNA. RefSeq lists it as uncharacterized. The record is from RefSeq and is a predicted model, not a curated record. NCBI's taxonomy places the organism in Eukaryota, Metazoa, Chordata, Mammalia, Primates, Hylobatidae.
GUAAAUUCGCCAUGUGAUAACCCCCCACUAGCAGAGAACGAAAGACUUACAAAGGAACCUGAAACUUAAACCAAACUGAACCAACCGCUGUGUACUAGAUCUGAAGGCUCUGCCUCAUCCACUGUAUCGUGCUGCCUCCCCAAGCACAUCAUUACACAUCAUCCAUUUGGUGCAUGGCAGAGGGAGGGAAGGAGAGCCCUCCUCACCAAAGGUUCCCAGGCCAGCAGGGAGGAUUAAGGCUCGGGCGCUCCAAACACAACACAACCUAGAAAGUGACGUGUCGAGAGGAAUCAC